UACGGAGGGUGCAAACGUUGCUCGGAAUCAUUGGGCGUAAAGCGCACGUAGGUGGUCUCGCAAGUCGGGUGUGAAAGCCCUCGGCUUAACCGAGGAAGUGCAUUCGAAACUACGAGACUUGAAUACUGAAGAGGAUCGCGGAAUUCCCGGUGUAGAGGUGAAAUUCGUAGAUAUCAGGAGGAACACCAAUGGCGAAGGCAGCUCGCUGGGACGGUACUGACGCUGAGACGCGAAAGCGUGGGGAGCAAACAGG
RNAcentral lists this ribosomal RNA (253 nucleotides) under uncultured bacterium. RNAcentral describes it as "partial 16S ribosomal RNA". It matches the Rfam family "Bacterial small subunit ribosomal RNA", at positions 524 to 776 of the family's 1533-position model. The record is from RNAcentral.